GCGGGUGUAGUUCAAUGGUAGAACUGCAGCUUCCCAAGCUGAACGCGUGGGUUCGAUUCCCAUCACCCGCUCCA
This 74-nucleotide transfer RNA is filed under the name Gammaproteobacteria bacterium. RNAcentral's name for it is "tRNA-Gly". It matches the Rfam family "tRNA". Rfam says of the family: Transfer RNA (tRNA) molecules are approximately 80 nucleotides in length. The record is from RNAcentral. Lineage: Bacteria; Pseudomonadati; Pseudomonadota; Gammaproteobacteria.